CAUUCCCUCUCACCCUUUCGUUGCGUCCUUCUCAUUCUCUUGAAACUUGCAGAGACUACUCAGUCUCUCUUGCUACUCCUAAACCUUCCCCAAUUCACUCCCUAAUUCAAAUUUCAAAUCCCAACUCAUUCCCUCCAAUCUAACAUUUCGAAAAUCAAAAACCACUUUCUCUGCGACAAGGCUGCCUCAAAGCCUUGUUAUUUGCUCUGCUGAGAGAGCUUCUCUAGCCAAGGCUUUGCUUUGAUUCUUGGCUUGCCUGGUAUCCACCUUGGCCCUGCUUGUUUUGAUGCUCUUAGUGCAAAGCUCAUGGAGAGAACAGGCUUUGAUUAUUGCUUCACUACUGGCAUAUUUUGACAUAUUACGCUGAGGGUAUUAUAGAGUUAAAGAUUCAAAGUUCCCCUCCUUAUGGCUUCGACAACUUAUGAUCCAGAACAAAGACUUUUAAGGCUUCUUGGUUAAAUCUAACGAUAUAUUCCCUCAAUGACUUAUUCCUCUCCUGCUUAAUGGUCUUUAAAUAGGAGGUUUCUCUCUUUGGCAGGAUGAUAGUUAUGAACUUGCCAAUGAACAUUUAGGUUAGCUGUGUGAAGGAGCUCAGCCUCUAAGCUAUUAUACCAAGAUUGUGCCAAAAGGAAGACCUUGCAAAGCAUUAUGUCAGAAGUGUUAUGGAGACUCAUCAUUAUCCUGUAAUUUUAAAGAUGAUCUUAAGAGAUCUCGUUCCAUCAUAACCUUCCAAGACUGGAACUAUAAAUUUUGGAAGGAGUGGUUCCUUUAUUUGCCAACGUAUUGUCCUGCAUUGCCUCUUUAAUUGUUAGGGUCGUUUGCUUGUGACUUUGGUUGAAAAUGCCUCAGUUGAAGAGACGAGGUAUGCAUCUUACCUUGUAAGUUGUUCGUCUUGGCUUCCAAGGUUCUAAGUUGUUGUUGCAUUUAAUCUUGAA
This is a long non-coding RNA of Hevea brasiliensis (rubber tree), 935 nucleotides long. RefSeq lists it as uncharacterized. NCBI's taxonomy places the organism in Eukaryota, Viridiplantae, Streptophyta, Magnoliopsida, Malpighiales, Euphorbiaceae. The transcript is spliced from 2 exons. The record is from RefSeq and is a predicted model, not a curated record.